UACGUAGGGGGCAAGCGUUGUCCGGAUUUAUUGGGCGUAAAGAGCUCGUAGGUGGUUCGGUAAGUCGGAUGUGAAAUCUCCAGGCUCAACCUGGAGGGGUCAUUCGAUACUGCCGUGACUAGAGGUCGGUAGGGGAGUGUGGAAUUCCUGGUGGAGCGGUGAAAUGCGCAGAUAUCAGGAGGAACACCCGUAGCGAAGGCGGCACUCUGGGCCGAUACUGACACUGAGAAGCGAAAGCAUGGGGAGCGAACAGG
Molecule: ribosomal RNA, 254 nt
Filed under: uncultured bacterium
Lineage: Bacteria
Description: partial 16S ribosomal RNA
Rfam family: Bacterial small subunit ribosomal RNA
Source: RNAcentral